This 369-nucleotide ribosomal RNA is filed under the name uncultured organism. Its description in RNAcentral is "partial 16S ribosomal RNA". It matches the Rfam family "Bacterial small subunit ribosomal RNA", at positions 527 to 896 of the family's 1533-position model. The record is from RNAcentral.
GGAGGGGGCAAGCGUUGCUCGGAAUUACUGGGCGUAAAGGGUCCGCAGGUGGUUUUGCAAGUUAGAUGUGAAAGCUCAGGGCUCAACCCGGAAACUGCAUCUAAUACUACAAAACUAGAGUCUAGGAGAGGUUGGCGGAAUUCCCGGUGUAGCGGUGAAAUGCGUAGAUAUCGGGGGGAACACCAGCGGCGAAGGCGGCUAACUGGCCUAGUACUGACACUCAUGGACGAAAGCGUGGGUAGCAAACCGGAUUAGAUACCCGGGGGUAGUCCACGCCCUAAACGAUGGAUGCUAGGUGUAGGGAUUUAAAUCUCUAUGCCGUAGCUAACGCAUUAAGCAUCCCGCCUGGGGAGUACGGUCGCAAGGCUG